This is a long non-coding RNA of Panicum virgatum (switchgrass), 443 nucleotides long. RefSeq lists it as uncharacterized. The transcript has 3 exons. NCBI's taxonomy places the organism in Eukaryota, Viridiplantae, Streptophyta, Magnoliopsida, Poales, Poaceae. The record is from RefSeq and is a predicted model, not a curated record.
GGGGCCACCUGUCAGCCCCUACCCCCGUCUCCUCCGCGCCUCCUCGCGCGCCCGUUGGCCCGCUGGGGCGGCGGCGCCAAGCCGGCGGCCGCUGGCUUGGCCAGCGUGGCCCCGGGCAGGCGAGCCGCAGCCGCCGCGCCGGCCGCUCGCCUCCUCCUCCCUUUAAAUGCCAACCCGGCCCCUUUGCCUCCAAACCCUAGCCGCCGCCACCACCAUUGCCGCCGCCACCUCCUUUCUUCCCCAACUCCGGCCACGAUUCGUCGUCUCCGCAGGCCUCUCCGCGAGCUUCUCCGCACACCCCCGCGUUCCUCCGCCAGGCUGCCCCAUCCACCGCCGUUCCCCGCCGUCCGAGCUGCCGUGGCGGAAACACCAGAGAGUGAGCGCGUUGAGGCCGAGCCUAGUGUUGAGUUUGUUGUCGAGACGAAAGAAAAAUCAAGGCAAGC